CCCUCGGGCGGGGGACAACAUCGGGAAACCGGUGCUAAUACCGCAUAAGGCCACGGGCUGGGAUGUCUGUGGUAAAAGGAGCGAUCCACCUGGGGAUGGGCCUGCGGCCUAUCAGGUAGUUGGCGGGGUAAAUGCCCACCAAGCCUAAGACGGGUAGCCGGUCUGAGAGGAUGAACGGCCACACUGGAACUGAGACACGGUCCAGACUCCUACGGGAGGCAGCAGUGGGGAAUUUUGCGCAAUGGGGGAAACCCUGACGCAGCGACGCCGCGUGGAGGACGAAGGCCUUCGGGUUGUAAACUCCUUUUAUGGGGGAAGAUAGUGACGGUACCCCAUGAAUAAGCCACGGCUAACUCUGUGCCAGCAGCCGCGGUAAGACAGAGGUGGCAAGCGUUGUUCGGAAUCACUGGGCUUAAAGGGCGCGUAGGCGGUGGAGCAAGUCCGGGGUGGA
This 451-nucleotide ribosomal RNA is filed under the name uncultured bacterium. Its description in RNAcentral is "bacterial SSU rRNA". It matches the Rfam family "Bacterial small subunit ribosomal RNA", at positions 129 to 598 of the family's 1533-position model. The record is from RNAcentral.